UGGGUCAUUAGAGGAAGUAAAAGUCGUAACAAGGUUUCCGUAGGUGAACCUGCGGAAGGAUCAUUAUUGAGUGAACGAAACUUGUGGCUGGAUGCUGUUGUGCUGGCCCUUUUGUGGGCAACGUGCACGCCUUCUGGCUGUCUGUUUCUUCUGUUCCACCUGUGCACCACCUGUAGACACACUCUGUGUCUAUGAUAAUGUUGAUACACUGUCACAUACAUAUGAAAUAUGGGUUGCAUGCAUAUAUAUAAUGUGUAGCAAAAAACAAGUACAACUUUCAACAACGGAUCUCUUGGCUCUCGCAUCGAUGAAGAACGCAGCGAAAUGUGAUAAGUAAUGUGAAUUGCAGAAUCCAGUGAAUCAUCGAAUCUUUGAACGCAUCUUGCGCUCCUUGGCAUUCCGAGGAGCAUGCCUGUUUGAGUGUUGUUAAACCAUCAAAACACAUUUCUUGGAUGUGUUUUGGACAUUGGGAGCAGUCUGCUGGCCUGCUUGGGGCCAGCUCUCCUCAAAAGCAUUGGCUUGGAGACUGAUCGGCGUGAUAGUCUGUUUACGUCGACUUUGAGUUCUCUGCUUCUCCUUUCUUUGACCUCAAAUCAGGUAGGACUACCCGCUGAACUUAAGCAUAUCAAU
RNAcentral lists this ribosomal RNA (630 nucleotides) under Amanita sp. RNAcentral describes it as "eukaryotic LSU rRNA". The stretch from base 273 to 426 matches the Rfam family "5.8S ribosomal RNA". The record is from RNAcentral. Lineage: Eukaryota; Fungi; Basidiomycota; Agaricomycetes; Agaricales; Amanitaceae.